RNAcentral lists this ribosomal RNA (349 nucleotides) under uncultured soil bacterium. RNAcentral's name for it is "bacterial SSU rRNA". It matches the Rfam family "Bacterial small subunit ribosomal RNA", at positions 27 to 369 of the family's 1533-position model. The record is from RNAcentral.
GGAGUGAACGCUGGCGGUAGGCCUAACACAUGCAAGUCGAACGGCAGCACGGUAAGAGCUCGCUCUUAUGGGUGGCGAGUGGCGGACGGGUGAGGAAUACAUCGGAAUCUACCUUUUGGUGGGGGAUAACGUAGGGAAACUUACGCUAAUACCGCAUACGCCCUUCGGGGGAAAGCCGGGGACCAGCAAUGGCCUGGCGCUGAUAGAUGAGCCGAUGUCGGAUUAGCUAGUUGGUGAGGUAAUGGCUCACCAAGGCGACGAUCCGUAGCUGGUCUGAGAGGAUGAUCAGCCACACUGGAACUGAGACACGGUCCAGACUCCUAGGGAGCAGCAGUGGGAAUUAGUGGAC